GAGUUUGAUUCUGGCUCAGGAUGAACGCUAGCGGCAGGCCUAACACAUGCAAGUCGAACGGUAACAUAGAGUGCUUGCACUUUGAUGACGAGUGGCGCAGGGGUGCGUAACGCGUAUACAAUCUACCUUUUACAGGGGGAUAUUAAAAGAAGAAAUUUGGAUUAAUACCCCAUGGCAUGCACAAUUGGCAUCGGUUGUGCAUUAAAACUUCGGUGGUAAGAGAUGAGUAUGCGUUCUAUUAGCUAGUAGGUGUGGUAACGGCACACCUAGGCAACGAUAGAUAGGGGCCCUGAGAGGGGGAUCCCCCACACUGGUACUGAGACACGGACCAGACUCCUACGGGAGGCAGCAGUGAGGAAUAUUGGACAAUGGGCGGAAGCCUGAUCCAGCCAUGCCGCGUGCAGGAAGACUGCCCUAUGGGUUGUAAACUGCUUUUAUACAGGAAGAAACCCACCUACGUGUAGGUGGCUGACGGUACUGUAAGAAUAAGGAUCGGCUAACUCCGUGCCAGCAGCCGCGGUAAUACGGAGGAUCCGAGCGUUAUCCGAAUCUUGGGUUUAAAGGGUCCGUAGGUGGAUAAUAAGUCAGGGGUG
This 593-nucleotide ribosomal RNA is filed under the name uncultured Flavobacterium sp. RNAcentral describes it as "bacterial SSU rRNA". It matches the Rfam family "Bacterial small subunit ribosomal RNA", at positions 9 to 596 of the family's 1533-position model. Lineage: Bacteria; Pseudomonadati; Bacteroidota; Flavobacteriia; Flavobacteriales; Flavobacteriaceae. The record is from RNAcentral.